This is a long non-coding RNA of Pezoporus occidentalis (night parrot), 2317 nucleotides long. RefSeq lists it as uncharacterized. The transcript is spliced from 4 exons. The record is from RefSeq and is a predicted model, not a curated record. NCBI's taxonomy places the organism in Eukaryota, Metazoa, Chordata, Aves, Psittaciformes, Psittacidae.
UUGCACAUGUGUUGCUUACGGUUCUGUGGUAGGAGAGCUGUUUCCAGGAAAGAAGAGGAGAAGGAGGAAGAUGUUUGGUUUGCUGAGCAGCCCAUUCUUCCCCAUGGUGCAGAGCAGGUUGUGGUACUAUCAUGUUGAAAUGGAGCAAGACACCAGAUCAAUAAGAAACGGAUGCCAUGGAAGCACUUCUACUUUGGCUGUAUCAUUAUGACUAUUUUAUUUUAUUAUUUUCUGGAGCAUUUAAUUCUCCGCAGUAUUUCCUUCACAGGUUCCUUUCCACCAGCACUUUAAAAUUUACUAUUUUGAGCUGCACUGACGGGCACAAGAAGAAUCCUUGUCUACAAUCUUAAGCAAUUUUGGAACCAUUGUCACCAAAGUACAGGCAUUUCAUGAAGGUACUUCUACUCUUGAUGUUCAAGGCAGGUGGAAUGAAGUUGGAGCCAGGCUCUUCGGAGGUGCACAGUGGCAUACAGAGAAAUGCCAAGCAGACAGAAGGAAAAAGUGCUUCCCUCAGAGGGUGAUGAAGCAACAGAAGAGGUGCACAGAGUUGCCAUGGUAUAGCUAUCCCCAGAGACUAUCCAAGCUUCAUGGCACGAGGCCAUGAGUGAGAGCACCAGUAGAGAAAAAGACAGUACUCAUGUGGCAUGGGUGUUUCAAAGAUUGUUUUCAUCUAGAUUUGAUGCUCAUUUUAGCUACAGAAAAGUGAAACCCCAAAUCACUGCCCCCCCAAAUGGCUCUUCUAGAAGAAGGCAGCAGAAGUCUGUGUCCAUGUCAUCUGCUGGAUGGACCACGCUGUACUUGCGACACCAGCUUGCUGUGGUGGCUGUGCAAGGAGGCUCGCUCCUCCAGCCAUGCUGGGAGGAGAGCUGGCCUGGCACUGCUGGGGCCUUGGGCACAGAACCUGCUGGCUCAUCUGAAGCAGGAGGGAAGGGCUUUACACUUAGCUCAGUUACUGCCUUGCUGGGUAACAUCGGAUAAGUCCAGGCCCCUCUCUGUGUCACAGCUAAGCCAAACGUCAUUUGAUGCUCAAAGAUACGGAUCUUUCCCCCAUGCAGAGGGGAGCUGGGAUUCAGCUGAUAGUGUUUGUCUGGGUUUUUGAAAUGAAGGAUGCUACAGGAAAGCAAGACAAGAAGUCCUAAUGGAGUACAAGGAAAGGAAAUCAGAUACUGUCAUGUUUAAUCCUUCCUUGCACCUCUGUUUUUUUUGGUUGCACCUUGAUAGGCAGGGCAGAGCUGGUCAUGUUUGGCUUUUCAGGUCAGGGAAAGGGGUAUGAGUCGUAAUGCUGCGAUGCAGAUGGAGGUCAUGCCAUUUAUCAGGAUCCCUUUGUACACAGUGUCCUGCUACAGAGCCUGCUCUGGCUGCAUUAUACCACUGCACUUCCCUCCUGUUUUGGGACACCCUGCUCUGGACAUAAGUGAUUGGAAGGGAACAGGACAAGACCUUGCUUAAGCAGUGAGGAGAGAUCCAGCUGUGCAUCCCACACUCAGUGCACAGGACUUCCCAGAUGAGCUUUAUCAUGGCACAGACCCCGGCUCACUGAGUGCGGACGUACGUUGCCUUGACAGGAGAGACAGAGAGUGGAAUCAGUGGGGCCUAGAGCUGGUCACUUCUAGUGAAGCAGAAAAUAAGUGGCAUGAUUAUGCAAUUGCCUCUGGUAAUAACCCAGCCUUCACCUCCUCGUGGGUACUGAGCCAAAGAAAGAAAUGCGCAAGGUUAGCACUUUCAUAGCAUGCACACAGAGCCCUGUCAAUACGCAGCAUGGUGAUUUCUUUACUCCCUCCACCUCUGCCUGCCUCUCUCAUAUUUUGCCUGCUGUCACUCACAGAUAAGACAUUUUAAGUCUCCCACUUGUUAGGUUAUCCGCACAGUGUGACAGCCUGAGGUCCAGGAGCCCUGCUGAAACCACGUUCUUAAAGGAGGUCCUAGUUUGCCCAGCAGGAGCACUGGUGUGGCAGGGGAGUGGAGGACUCCAGGGCAGGAUCAAAAGGCGUCAGGAGAUCAGUGUGCUGCACUUGCAAGAGGAUCAGAAACAUGAAAACCAAGAAGUUUCCCUGUAUUCAACUUAAUGCUUUGCAUUUAGGUUUUUCUUGACCCUCAAUAGGCGACCCUUCAGGUAGUUGAGCUUGCCAUUCUCUUGCCGUUGAGCUACUGGACUAGCUGACACAACUUUGUUUCUCCACUUGAAACAUUUUUGGGGACAUUUUUCAUUGUUACUAUGAAUAACAAAUUAAAAAGUACAUGAGUGAUGUUGCUCAAGAAGCCUUUAGCCGAUGUUAUGAAUUUCUCAGCCAGUGGUGCCAUAGAUGUGACCAUGUUU